RNAcentral lists this ribosomal RNA (368 nucleotides) under uncultured phototrophic eukaryote. Its description in RNAcentral is "SSU rRNA". It matches the Rfam family "Bacterial small subunit ribosomal RNA", at positions 524 to 896 of the family's 1533-position model. The record is from RNAcentral.
UACGGGGGAUGCAAACGUUAUCCGGAAUUAUUGGGCGUAAAGCGCCUGUAGGUGGUUUAGUAAGUUUGUUGUUAAAGGUUAGGGCUUAACCCUAAAAAAGCAAUGAAAACUACUAGACUAGAGUAUGGUAGGGGUAGAGGGAAUUUCUAGUGUAGUGGUGAAAUGCGUAGAUAUUAGAAAGAACACCGGUGGCGAAAGCGCUCUACUGGGCCAUUACUGACACUCAGAGGCGAAAGCUAGGGGAGCAAAAGGGAUUAGAUACCCCUGUAGUCCUAGCCGUAAACGAUGGAUACUAGAUGUUGUGCGAAAUGUACAGUAUCGUAGCUAACGCGUUAAGUAUCCCGCCUGGGAGUACGCUCGCAAGAGUG